Molecule: ribosomal RNA, 497 nt
Filed under: uncultured bacterium
Lineage: Bacteria
Description: partial 16S ribosomal RNA
Rfam family: Bacterial small subunit ribosomal RNA
Source: RNAcentral
GAUGAACGCUGGCGGCGUGCCUAAUACAUGCAAGUCGAGCGAACAGACGAGGAGCUUGCUCCUCUGACGUUAGCGGCGGACGGGUGAGUAACACGUGGAUAACCUACCUAUAAGACUGGGAUAACUUCGGGAAACCGGAGCUAAUACCGGAUAACAUGUUGAACCGCAUGGUUCAACAGUGAAAGACGGUCUUUCUGUCUCUUAUAGAUGGAUCCUCGCCGCAUUAGCUAGUUGGUAAGGUAACGGCUUACCAAGGCAACGAUGCGUAUCCGACCUGAGAGGGUGAUCGGCCACACUGGAACUGAGACACGGUCCAGACUCCUACGGGAGGCAGCAGUAGGGAAUCUUCCGCAAUGGGCGAAAGCCUGACGGAGCAACGCCGCGUGAGUGAUGAAGGUCUUCGGAUCGUAAAACUCUGUUAUUAGGGAAGAACAAAUGUGUAAGUAACUAUGCACGUCUUGACGGUACCUAAUCAGAAAGCCACGGCUAACUACGUG